Molecule: ribosomal RNA, 315 nt
Filed under: uncultured bacterium
Lineage: Bacteria
Description: bacterial SSU rRNA
Rfam family: Bacterial small subunit ribosomal RNA
Source: RNAcentral
GAUGAACGCUAGCGGCAGGCCUAACACAUGCAAGUCGAACGGUAACAGGAAGAGCUUGCUCUUCGCUGACGAGUGGCGAACGGGUGCGUAACGCGUAUGCAACCUACCUUUAACGUGGGAGAUAGCCCCGAGAAAUCGGGAUUAAUACCCCAUAACAGUUACAAAGUUCGCAUGUUUUCGUAAUUAAAACUCCGGUGGUUAAAGAUGGGCAUGCGUGACAUUAGCGUAGUUGGUGAGGUAACUGCUCACCAAGGCUACGAUGUCUAGGGGGCCUGAGAGGGUUGUCCCCCACACUGGUACUGAGACACGGACCAG